UGAGGAAUAUUGGGCAAUGCCCGCAAGGGUGACCCAGCAACGCCGCGUGGAGGAUGAAUGUCGUAAGAUUGUAAACUCCUGUUAGAGGGGAAGAAUAGUACCGGUUGGACCGGUAUAUGACUGUACCCUCAGAGAAAGCCCCGGCUAACUACGUGCCAGCAGCCGCGGUAAUACGUAGGGGGCAAGCGUUGUCCGGAUUUACUGGGUGUAAAGGGCGCGCAGGCGGGAUAAAAAGUCAGUGGUGAAAUCCUACAGCUUAACUGUAGAACUGCCUUUGAUACUUUUAUUCUUGAGUUCGAGAGAGAGAGACGGAAUUCCAGGUGUAGUGGUGAAAUACGUAGAUAUCUGGAAGAACACCAGUUGCGAAGGCGGUCUCUUGGUCCGACACUGACGCUGAGGCGCGAAAGCGCGGGGAGCAAACA
This 422-nucleotide ribosomal RNA is filed under the name uncultured bacterium. RNAcentral describes it as "bacterial SSU rRNA". It matches the Rfam family "Bacterial small subunit ribosomal RNA", at positions 355 to 774 of the family's 1533-position model. The record is from RNAcentral.